RNAcentral lists this ribosomal RNA (239 nucleotides) under uncultured bacterium. RNAcentral's name for it is "partial 16S ribosomal RNA". It matches the Rfam family "Bacterial small subunit ribosomal RNA", at positions 98 to 339 of the family's 1533-position model. The record is from RNAcentral.
GCGCACGGGUGCGUAACGCGUAUGCAACCUACCCUGUACUGAGGGAUAGCCCGGAGAAAUUCGGAUUAACACCUCAUAGUAUAUAUCAUUCGCAUGUUUGAUAUAUUAAAGGUUACGGUACAGGAUGGGCAUGCGUCCCAUUAGCUAGAUGGUGAGGUAACGGCUCACCAUGGCGACGAUGGGUAGGGGGCCUGAGAGGGUGGUCCCCCACACUGGUACUGAGACACGGACCAGACUCC